AGGAGGAACAAUACUGGUGGCGGCCAGCUCUCCAGCCCUGGAGUCAGCUUCCACAGUAACUACGGAGCUCUCAGUCUGCAGGGGCCUGGAUGCUCCAGGGGCGG
Molecule: microRNA precursor, 104 nt
Filed under: Canis lupus familiaris (dog)
Lineage: Eukaryota; Metazoa; Chordata; Mammalia; Carnivora; Canidae
Description: mir-8834 microRNA precursor family
Rfam family: mir-8834 microRNA precursor family
Source: Rfam by way of RNAcentral